GACGAACGCUGGCGGCGUGCUUAACACAUGCCAGUCGAACGGAGAGGCCCUGCUUGCAGGGUGCUCGAGUGGCGAACGGGUGAGUAACACGUGGGUGAUCUGCCCCUUACUUUGGGAUAAGCCUGGGAAACUGGGUCUAAUACUGGAUAGGACCAUGCUGUAGGUGGUGUGGUGGAAAGAUUAGUUUCGGUAAGGGAUGAGCUCGCGGCCUAUCAGCUUGUUGGUGGGGUAAUGGCCUACCAAGGCGUCGACGGGUAGCCGGCCUGAGAGGGUGGACGGCCACAUUGGGACUGAGAGACGGCCCAGACUCCUACGGGAGGCAGCAGUGGGGAAUAUUGCACAAUGGGCGCAAGCCUGAUGCAGCGACGCCGCGUGGGGGAUGACGGCCUUCGGGUUGUAAACUCCUUUCAGCCAUGACGAAGCCCUUGUGGUGACGGUAGUGGUAGAAGAAGCACCGGCUAACUACGUG
RNAcentral lists this ribosomal RNA (469 nucleotides) under uncultured bacterium. RNAcentral's name for it is "partial 16S ribosomal RNA". It matches the Rfam family "Bacterial small subunit ribosomal RNA", at positions 28 to 507 of the family's 1533-position model. The record is from RNAcentral.